UAGGGAAUCUUCCGCAAUGGACGCAAGUCUGACGGAGCAACGCCGCGUGAGUGAAGAAGGAUUUCGGUUCGUAAAACUCUGUUGUUAGAGAAGAACAGCGCAUAGAGUAACUGUUAUGCGUGUGACGGUAUCUAACCAGAAAGCCACGGCUAACUACGUGCCAGCAGCCGCGGUAAUACGUAGGUGGCAAGCGUUGUCCGGAUUUAUUGGGCGUAAAGCGAGCGCAGGCGGUCAAUUAAGUCUGAUGUGAAAGCCCCCGGCUCAACCGGGGAGGGUCAUUGGAAACUGGUUGACUUGAGUGCAGAAGAGGAGGGUGGAAUUCCAUGUGUAGCGGUGAAAUGCGUAGAUAUAUGGAGGAACACCAGUGGCGAAGGCGACUCUCUGGUCUGUAACUGACGCUGAGGCUCGAAAGCGUGGGGAGCGAACAGG
Molecule: ribosomal RNA, 429 nt
Filed under: Bacteroidota bacterium
Lineage: Bacteria; Pseudomonadati; Bacteroidota
Description: Bacteroidetes bacterium partial 16S ribosomal RNA
Rfam family: Bacterial small subunit ribosomal RNA
Source: RNAcentral